UUGCCACUUGUUAGAGAUACAUGACUUUUCACUUCGAACAGUUGUGUCUUUCACCAUUAGUGUUUAUAAAUACUUUUUUAGUCCACGAAUUUUGAAAAUAAAACUUUUAUAAUGGAACUACCCGAAGAUGCUGUGUGUAAUAAUAUUUUAUUAAAGCAACUGCUCUAAUUUGGGGCCAUGCAGGCAUACUUGUCUCUUGGUUACCGUAACGUUAUUUUCGAAGGAGAUAAUCUAAUACUUAAGUCCGUCCUUGAUCAUAACGAGUCUAAAAAAAAAACUACAAGUCCUGAAGUCGAGCAUUUUGGGACUGCAACAAGAAUUUGAAAGAGGGCGUUUUGAAUAUUGCAAAGGUGAAGCUAAUGGAUGUGCUGACAAAUUAUCUAAUUUUUCAAUUACUUGUAAUCAUGUAUGGGGUGUGUACCGUAUAUGUCCAUCCUUUUUACAACUUCAUGUAAUACUCGAUAAUGAUAAUAAACAAAGUUUAACCGAAAAAAAUAUAUAUUUUAUUAAAGGUCUUCGAUCAGUCAAGUAAAUAUUUUGGAAAUUAAUUGUAGAAUAGUCAAUAAAGAAAUUGAAAGAAUUUCAAAAUCAUCUUAUGUAUUAAAAAUCUACUAAUUAGUGUUUUUAAUACCAGACAAAAACCCUUCCAUAUAAAGAGACAGAUGACGUCCGUUAACUCAUACACAACUCUUAUUUUUCUUUCUACUGAACUGAUGAGCGACAGAGAAGGUAUAACAAUGAUUGAUGCUGCCGCUUGAGUGGUCAUAAUGGAAAAACAUAAUCACUUUAGGGAUUGGACGAAGGUUAAAACAAAUAACUUCAUUAUCACCAAAUCAAUGAAUUUAAUUCUACAAUUAAAAUAUCCCUUUAAUUAUGUUUUUAAAAUAAUAAAAAAAAUUCAUUAAAAUCUCAAUUUUUUUAAAGGUUGUGUUUGUUCAUUAAGGUAUCUUUUGAUUAAAUGUUGUCUCUCUUCAAUAUGAAACUAUUGUAAAUUUUUUUGAAUAAAUGUUAUGUUGUGCUUUUUCAUCAUAAAAUAUAUAUUAAUUGAUUUUUUGUUUAAAAAGUUAUAUAUUACCAUUAUAAAUGUGCUAUUUAAAAUAAUUAAUUAAAAUUGAAAAGUUGUGACUAUUCAUAUAAGUAUCAUUUCAAAAUAACUACUAUUAAAUUGAAAAGAUGUGACUAUUUAAAUUGAAAAGUUAUGACUAUUCAUAUAAGUAUCAUUUUAAAAUAACUACCCUUAUACUAAAAAGAUGUGACUAUUCAAAUAGAUCUUUGAAAAUCUAUAUAUAGUCUACGUCCAUGCGUUUUUCAAAGUAAUAUUUUCACUAAUCUAAUAAAAGACGAAGAAAAAAAAAGGUUUUUGCAGUUAUUUGGUUACAAAUUUUUAGAAAAUAUUUAAAUGAAACAUUGUCAACAAAAAAGUUGUAGGAAGUGUAACUAUUUAAAUUGAAAAUUUAUGACUAUUCAUAUAAGUAUCAUUUCAAAAUAACCACAUUAGACUAAAAAUAUGUGACUAUUCAAAUAGAUCUUUGAAAUCUAUAAAUAGUUUACGUCAGUGCUUUUCUAAAAGUAAAUAUUUUACUAAUCUAAUAAAACGCUGAAGAAAAUUACAAAUGUUUAGAAAGUAUUUAAAUGAAACAUUGUCAACAAUAAAUAGUAGGAAGAGAUUUUGGUGUUUGGAUAGCCAAAAAUCAUAGACGUGAUAGUGAAGUCCUUGAUCUUAAUUUUUUUUACUAGAUGAAAAGGUUUGUUUUCCAUACUUACAAAUUCUUCUUCUUCUAAUGGAGGAAUAUUCAUCAGUAUGAUGUCACCACAUAUGCUCUUCGUCCCGUAGUCACAACGCCACACUGGAGAGACGGCCUGUCGUCGGAGACCAAUAGCUUUUGUGCGUGGUCAUUCGUGGACAUGAGAGAUGUAUGAUGUGAAGAAGAGACUCACAAAGCCGGAGCCACCGUCAUCACCCGUGAAGUUGUCGUGAGUUUAAGUGUUUUUAUCUGUUUCUUGUGCAUCAAGCAAUCGUUUAUAAUAAGUCUGGUUGUAAUCAUAUCCUAAUAAUUUAUCUUAUCUUAUUUCUAUUUGAUUCCGAUCUUGUGUGUCGCCGAUGAGAAGUCCAUGGCGGAAUCCUAAUUGUUUUUGGUGGUCAAGUCAUAUUCCCGUUCCAUAUCGCAUUGGCAGUAGAACAUCAGAGAGAAUGACAUGUAUAAAUUUUUUUAAAGAGGUGCCAUUGUUAUUUGAGAGAACGUGUUGGGGAACCAAUUCGAGAUGUACAUAUUUUGUCAUCCUGAACCAACGAGGGGACCGAAAGGUAUUUCCAAAAUGUACUAUCUUAUAAUAACAAUGCCUUUGUGAGAAGCAAACGAGGAGAACGUUUCAUAUGCAAUAGAGUAUCUUUCUAUAAUGAUGUGUAUAUUUAUAAUAUAUUGUAAAUGUACUAUCUUAUAAUAAUUAUAUACUCUGGAAUUGAAAUAAAUAUUAACGAUUUUGUCUUUAAUUUCGUCUUUAAAAUAUGUUUGUUUUCCAUAAAAAUUGCAUUAAUUUAAAAUAAGUUAACAAAAUAUAUAAAUAUGUAUCUUUUCAUCUUAAUAAUUAUAUUAAUUUAAAAGUUAUUUAAACGUCUAAAAUGUGUCUUUUUCUUCCUAACAGCGGGUUUCUUCAUCAUAAAAGUUUUAUGGAUUUAAAAGAAAUUGUCAAAAUGUAAAAAUAUGUCUUUCAACCUGAUAAUUAUAUUGGUUAAAAAAACAUUUAUGUAUGCAUCAGUUUGAUAUAUGUGAUCUCUAUUUAUUUAGUGAAUCACUAUUACACAUAAAUAUGAGAGGAUUAUUAGUGAUUUAAGUGAAUCUUACAACCGUUUAAAUGAAUCAUUGCAAAUAUUUGGUGAAAGUUAUGUGGGUGAUAUUGCUAAGAAGAUAUGUUAAUGGAUAAGAUAUCUUAAAAUUACCAUAUACACAUGUUUUUAUAAAUAGUUUUUGUAAAAAGUUACAUUAAAAAAUAUGACAUACUUAUUUUUAUAAAAUGAGUUCCCGUGUGAUAUCGCACGGGUUCCUUAACUAGUAUAUUAAAAGAGAAACAUUACAACAUUUGAGUUAUGACACGUGUCGUCAUGAGAAUAAUUUUUGACAGUCUAUAAAAAAUUAAGUUGGUCCAUCUAAAUAAAAAGCAUAGUUUUCUUUAAACUAAUAAUAAAAUCUCUUAUUAGUCUAAAAAAAUAUUAUUAAUUAUUUCCCUAAAUAAAAGCUACGGAAUUAUCUAAUGUGAUUAAAAUAUAUAUGCAAAUUAAUGAUUUUCAAUAAUAAAGAUUUGCUAAAAAUUAUAUAUUCUCUAUCAUUGUUGUUUAAAUCAUUUUUAUUAAAAUAAAUUAUACAAUUACAUUAACCAUACAAUAAAAAUUUUAAAUUAUUUCGUAUAUGUCGUAUUUUGAAUUUUUUUUAAAUGAGUAUAAAUUACUAAAAUGUUAAAAGUCUCACAUAAACUUUUGUGAUCAAUGAUUUAAUUUUUUUGCUAUAAUAAGAUACAAAUGAUUAUAAAACCACAUGAGUAAGAAGUCUUAUUUAAUAGUUGUUUAUAUAUAUAUAUCAUUUAAAUUAAAUUAUAUACCAUGUAAAAAUACAUACUUAUAUUUUGAUAUUUCCAUUGACCAAAUACUUAGAAUUUAAUAUUUUUAUUUUAAAACAUGCAUUGAAUUUUUAAAAAUGAUUAUAAGUUACUAAAACUAUUAAAAAUCUCACAUUAAAAAAAAUUAUUAAUGAUUUAAAUUUUUGUCAUAAAAGGAUGCUGAUAAUCAUAAAACCAUAUGAUUAGAAAACUCAAAUGAAGCAGACUUUAUUAUAAGUCUACUAAAUCCUAAACUACAAAACUCAAAUCCUAAAUGUUUGCUUGAUAAUAAAAAGAAGUAUCAAUUAUUGUGUCAAAUAUAUACAAAAUAUAACAUACUCAUAUGCAAAUUUUAAUCAAUAAAACAAAAAAAAAUAUCAAUAUAAAUCUAACCCUAAGAAUCUAACCUUAAAAGACAUAACAUGUUCUAACAUUUAAUUCUAAACCAUAAACAAUGUCUCACAUGGUCACCAAAUCAAUAUAUAUUCUUUUAAAUUGUUCAAUUAUACAAAAUUUUAAUUUCUAAACUUCAUACUAACCCUUAUAUAAAUGAUUAGUUUAAAGUUUCACAAAAAUUAUUUUUUUUACAUUUUAAAAAUUAAUUUAUAAGAUCAAAUUACGAUGUAGAUUUGUUUUGAAGUCUACAUAUAUGUAGACUUUUUUUGUUACAUGUAGACUUAUGAAGGAUAUAAUUAUAAAAUAACUUUCUGGUUUUUUGUUUGGUUAUAAAGGUUAAAUAGUAUUUUUACUACCACUUUAGGUUGAUUUUGCAUUUGAUUGAAUAUGAGGUCUACUUUUAUGGUUAGAAUCAAUAUUUGGGUUGGUUUUGGCAAAAACUCAUUUAAUAAAUAGCCAUAUUAAAAAUAUAUUAUAUAUCUAUGUUGAUAUCAUUUAAAUUAAUUAUAUAUCAUAUACAAUUAGAUAAAUUUGAUAGAUCAAUAAUAAACAAGAUUAAUCGUUUGAUUUAAACGCGUCCACCAAUUUAGUUAUAUACGUAAUAGUUAUUGAUUCUCCAAUUAUUGAAUAUAUAUUUAUUAUUUUAUUAUUUCAUAAUUGAUAGAAAAUAUAAAAAUAAUAAUACAUAAAUAUAAUUUGUAUAUAAAAUAUUUAUUCCGCGCACUUAACUUAGUGGUAGGUAUUAUAGAAAAUAUAGAAAACACGAACACAUUGUCUUUUUUAUUUGUUGAUUUCAUAUUGUGGUUAUCUUUCUAAAAUCUCAUAUAUAUUUUACAUCUAUAUGGGGUUUUAAUACUACAAAAAACGAAGAGGGUUUAUCUUGUAAAGAAGAAAUUAUUAAGUGGAAAUUUCGAUAUACAGAAAUAUUGAGAACUUGCCUGGAAAAAUCCCCAUUCUUUGCAUGCCAAGUCGAGCUUGUGAAUCUCAGCAUCCAUGGAGGUUAAAGAACACAAGAGAUUCAUGUGGAUGAUUGGGAUCUCGGUUCUUAAAUUACCGUCGAUCUCACCUUUGUCAAGAUCAGACCGUACAUACCUCGGAGGAACCGUCGUGGUCAGCUUCUCCUUCACCAUCUCUUGAACAGAUGGAACUAUAAUAGAGCUAUGCUGGCUUUCUCCCUUGGCUUCCAUGGCGGAUUAUUCUUGAAAGAAAAAGAAUGUUGAUAAUGCCAAAUAUUGUUUAUUUUGUAACAAAUGCCAGAUAUUGUUUUGUUGAGCAACACUUACAAAAAGAAAAAGAUAAUGGACCUUGGCGUUUUGCUACACGUUUUGCAAGUGGCGAUAAGUGAAGUACUGCGUCGUUUUGUAUGCCCGUGUGUUUUUGCAUGUGACUAGGUGGUUGCAUGUAACUAAAAUGGAAACUACUUAUGCGAAUUAAUUUAGGACAUUGUUUUGUCCGAGAGUUUAUAAGAGCAUUUCCAAUGUAUUACUCCAAAUUUUACUCCAAAAUGAUGUACCUCCAAAAUAGAGUUGGGUUUUACUUUAAUGUAUGACUCUAUUUUUUACUUCUUUUUUAUUUUGUUAAUAAUUGUUAGUAGUACUUUCACCUUAUAAAAAUUUAAGAAUUAACCCAACUAUUUUAUGUUUACAAAAUUUCCAUAAUAAUAUAUUUUAUUUAGAUUAAAUAUUUAUCAUUAAAAAUAUAGCUAAGAGAUUAUCUUCCAAUUUCAAUUCGUGGAGUUUUAUCAUAUGCAAUUUUUCUAAUUCGAAAAUAUUUAUAUGCACUAAAAGAACAUAAAGUAAAAAAAAAAAGUUUUGUUUUGUAAUUUAAAAUAUGUAUUGGGUCUCAUUGUUUGUGCAUAUAAUAAGUUCAACUAGUACAAAUGUUAUCAAUCAAAAUUUUUUGACCCACAAAAUUAAAAAAAAUGCAUCUAUUCCGUUUGAACAAGACUUCACCGAUUUUGGUAGUUUCGAAAACAAUUUACCGAAUUAUUAAAUUACUUAUUUAUAUUAUAUUUUAUUUAUUUUAUAUUAUUUAUUCUUAGUUUUGACUUUUAUGAGUUUAUGCAUAUUUUAUGUAAACUAUUAAAUAAUCUUUUGCGGAGUAUUAUAUUUUUUCAUGUUAAAAAAUUAAAGAUUAAAAAGACCAUUUCAUAAAUAGAAAAAGUUCAAUUACAAAAUGAAUUAAUGGGUAAAAUUACUCUAUAAAUAUGAAACCCUAGCUAUACUUUAUUUUGAAGUUGAAUAUGGAAUAGAAUUGGAAAAGAUUUUACUCUAAAAUUGAGUUUAAAGUCAAAAAUAUAGUAGAGUUGGAGAUGAUACCCCAAUAAUGUUGAGCCUUCCCUAACAACCAGACCCGAUUCUCGGCACAACUGUAUGAAAUAUUCACGAAGUAUUAUACUUUGUUUGCAUUAUUAUCUCCAAAUUAUUUUAUUAAAUAGAAUUAAGGUAAAAAUGUUUAUGGUCUCCUAAAUCUGGAUCCGGUUUUUCAAACAACGAUCGUAAAAGAGGACAUUCUUAUUAAUUCUCUGCAUGAAACAAGAGAAGAUAAAAUAUACUAUCUAUAUAUAGUACCACAUGCAAGAACGGUGGUAGAAGAUAAGAGUUUUCUUAGGUCACAAGGCAAUGGGUCUUCAGAUUCUCAUAACAUCAAGGUAAGCUUUUCCACCGAGCUCACGUGAGAACAAGCCUUUGAAGUACUCAUCAGUGGUCAUGCUUCUGAAAAAUGAAGCCUUAUGCCUCUCCACGAGACUUCUCAGCGGACCAACUUCUUUACCAGUUCCUAUAUUGUGAAACGCCCCUAUAGAAAUCCUCUCCUUCUCUGAGUUCACAACCCCACGAUGCUCUAUACUUCGGUACGUCCCAUUUGUAACAAUCUACAUAGACAAAACCAAAACCAUUUACAAAUUACAAACGUUGUAUAUAUCAUUUGGUCUCUCUCUACUCUAGUUCACAAAACUUACCUCUAUCAUGUCUCCAACAUUGACAACGAAAGCAUCUGGGAGAGGUUUGACAGAAACCCACUUGCCUUUCUUCUUGAUUUGGAGACCUUCCACUUCAUUAACCUGCAAAAGGAUGGUGACUCCUGUAGAAUCUGAAUGUGGAGUCAGACCAAUAACCUUGUCAGGCUCAGGACAAGGAGGGUAGUAAUUCAUCCUCAUUAUCUGUCCUAGAUCAUCAUCAAACAACUUCUCCAUCUCGUCAGGGUUGAUCUUCAAUGCCACCGCCAUUUUAGCAAACAAGAUCUUAGCUAUGCUUUUCAGUUCAGCUGAAUACGUCUCUAGUGUAUCUCUGAAGAAACAGAACAUAGUUUGAAGAACAGAGAAAGACUUGCGAGGCAAGUAAGAAUGGUUUUGAAGCAAACCUAAGGGGAAGAGGUAUCUUGGGGAACACGUGAGGCUUGCGUAACCUAGCAGGUAGCACUGUGAGAUGGAACAUGUCUGCCCAAUCUAGUUUCUGCUCUUCUGAAACCACAAAAGCCUGUCCAAACCCUUCGAUGUCUCCAGGCUUUUGCCACAGCUUCUUCUUCUCUUCCAUGGGAAGGUUGAAGAAAUCUUGAAUCUCUGACUUGAAUUUGUCCAAGAAGCCUGAGUCCACUCCAUGGUUUACAAGCUGGAGAUAAGAUACAAGAAGUGGAGUUAUUUUGUAAGAAUGAGUUUUAAGAUAAUGAAGUUUGACUUUUGAAACUUACCUGAAAAAAUCCCCAUUCUUUGCAAGCCAAGUCUAGUUUUUCAAUCUCAGAAUCCAUGGUGGUUAGAGAACACAAGCGGCUCAUGUCGAUGACUGGGAUCUCAGGUUUUAGACCAGAGUCACAGGCCAUCUCAGCUUUGUUUAGAUCAGACCGUACAUACCUCUGAGGAACCUUCUUGAUCAGCUUCUCCUUCACCAUCUCUUGAACAGAUGGGACUAUAAUAGAGCUGUGAUGCUUACUUGCUCCAUUGGCUUCCAUGGCUGCUUCUUUUUGGUAAGAAAGGAAAUGUUAACAGUGCCAAAUCCAAUGAUUGAUGGGAGACUGUGAUGGUGAUCGGUAACUAGCUACAAAGGUCUACAAGUAUUUAUAUAUGAUUUUAGAUGCAAGAAAUAGAAAACAGUAGUAUAAUUCUUUAAUAUCUUUGAAUUGAAAAAUACUGGCCCACGUUACGAGUGUGCUUACAUAAGAAAGAGAUGUACAUCAAGACGUUUACUUGGUGUCAUCUAAGAAUAUUCUUGGUUUGCAAAGCAAGUUAUGGCUACUUUUUCAACGUUUUGUAACAUUAAGUACAAUAUAUGGGAGGCUUGAAAAGUCUUGGGAUAAGGUCUCUGGACUAGUACAUGGACAUGUACGACCGUAAUCCUUAUAAUUCAACGAUUCGUUAUCCGGAUUCCAACGCAUGCUCCAUGGAGUUUCUGAAAACAUAAACAAGUGAUUUACAAAAAAAAAAGCAUAUAUGUAUACCCCCUACGCAACGUAAUCAGAGAUUAUGAAACUCAUUAACAGUAUAGUUCUUUAAUCUCUUUGAAUUGACAAUACUGGCCCACGUCACGAGUGUGUUUAGGUAAGAAAAAGAUAGACAUCUACACGUUUAUUUGAUGUCAAUUAAGAUUUUUUGUUUAGGCUGCAGAGCAAGAUAUAAUGGCUACUUUUCAACGUUUUAUACUUUAGUUCAAUGCGUGGGAUGCUUAAAAGUCUUAUAGGAUAAGGUCUCUGGACUUAGCAGAUGGACAUGGCCGACCGUAUCAAAGCGACUAUUCAGGAAGUAGGAGGAUAUAUUCAAGUUUAGAGAAAAAAACUGAGUUUACACAUUUGAUGAUAUACUACAUAACAGGCUAUUGGAUCAAUAACCGUAGAUUCUUUAAUUUAACUUGUUUUUAUUGUAAAUUACACAUUCAUACAUAAGAGAGGUAGUAGCUGCAUAGAGUGGUCACUCUCCCUUGAGAACUGGAGACUGUGACAAGAUAUCUCCAGAGCAACAGAGCCUCUUCUUCUCUAUAGUAAAGAGUGAUGCACAAUGUUGGGUGGUGUAUAAACUCAAGGACAAGGAUAUGUCCCGAAUCAACUAAUCUAUACCUAAAGGUUGAAAUGAAAGUGCAGAAAGUGCUCAGUAUUUUUUACACAAACUAUGAUCACAUCUGGAGAAGAUUAUUCACUGUAACAGCAACAGAGUUUGUUCUCUGCAGGUCCUGCAAAAAAAAAACGCAACAUGUUCUAGUAUCAACUACAUAUGCACUUCCUAUCAAAGGUUACAGAGAGUAUUCAAAUAUGCACUUAAAAUUUUACCUGGAAAAUAAUUUCAUCAGGCACAUGUGGCAUGACUUCCCUCACUGUCUCGGCCAUAGCUAGUAUACUUGCCAAGCUUUCAUUUGUCACGUUUGAUACAGUUCUUAGAUGCAGACCACCUGUCCUUCCACCAGCACCUGGAGGCAUGGUUGUUGUAGUAGAAGUGGAAGCUUGUGAAGGGUUCAUCGGCCAUAGACUCCAAGCAGCAUCGUCAAGUGCAGUUUGAGCAUAGCUUUCCCCAACAGAUGCAAGAUGCCUCAUCAUCAUCUGAACCCUCCCCAGUCCAACGGACCUAGAAGCGGUAGUAGAGGGACCAGCGACAUCAAUGCCCUGGUCUGACCAUGUCUGCAGCCAGCUUGGAUCCAAUCCUAAAUUCCUAUUUUGUGAAAAACAAAAGGGUGAGAACUUUUACAAUCAUAUAUUUAGUUAAUAAGUGAAUCAUGGAAGAAGAAUGAAGUGAACCUCGAAGGAUCAGUUUCAACAGAACUUGGCAUCUCAGCAGGGAAUAAACCAGUGGCUAGUGGAUGAGCAGGACUGUUUUGUCUUUCAAGCUGACGCGCUAGCUGCUCAUCCCUUGAGACUUCAACCGUGCGAGGGUUAGCCUCACUUUCAGUUCUACCAGCAAAAAGAGGCUUACGACAUGUAGGACAAGAAUAAACAUCAUUUAGACCUUGAUCCAACCUGCCAGCACCAUCAAAGCAUCAUCAUCAGGAUCAUUAGUUUCAGUUAUAAAUAUCCGAGGAUGUAGGUAUCUACCAGGAUCGCAGGCAUCCAAGAUGGAAAAGGUGGUUGCAGUGAAGCCUUUUAGCCUUAGCCAUAGGUUCCUGGCCAUUCAGAAUGUAUACAAGAGCUUGAGGUAUUGAAAAGGUGUAUGAAAAAAUAGCUCUAUAGAGCAGAAGCAUACCCGGCAUAUAGCACAUUCAUCAUCAUAUGCACGCAACUCUUCAGAAGUUGCAUCAGGAAGCGCUGCAUGGAGAGAACCCAGAGCUAUUCUCAGUUUAAUGUAUCCUUUCAUUCGUUUCAAAAUUGCACUGAGCAAUGCCUGCCAAAACAAAAAUAGAAAAAUCAGGUGCUAAGUAACCCUGAGGGCGACACAAUAUCAAAGAAAGUUGACAAACUUACACGUAUGUUGAGAAACAAAACUGCAUCCACCAGAUGAAAGGCAAUGCCAUGGAGCCACCAGAUAUGCAAAUAAUGACAUAGUGCCAUUACCAAAGUAGCCAUGUCCAGGAAGAAACCAAGGUUUCGGUUGAGGAGGCCCUUCCAUUCCAACAGUGAGCCUAUCCCAAAGGGUAAGAGACCAAAAAUAUCCAUGAAAAUUCAUUUCCCGGUUAACAGAAAAAGCCAUGGCAUAACACCAGAAAAUAAAAGACCUGCUGUCAUGGAAUCGAGAAACUUGGAUCUUUGGCAGUCCGAGUUAUUGACUACUAAGUGAUUGAUCCACAUAUCAAGCAAUUGAAACCCAUGAAUCAACAGCGCCUACAGAAGAACAAUAUCAGCUCUAUAUUUUGUUGACCAUCGCUAAAGAAAAGGACAACACACAAGAAGGACGAAAAAAGACAAUUGCUAUUACUUAAGUACCUGCAAGGUCUCAAAAGCAAUACUGCAUGGCUCAAAAAGUAACAGCAGAUACACAGAAGAACCAAUUGUAUUGUAUGUCAUAAGGGAAAGCUUUAUCCUGCAACAUACGUGAAGAAAAUUAAAUCCUUUUAACGAAGAGCGUUGUCCAUGUAGGUCUAUUCGUAUUACCUACUCGAUUAUACACAUUACUCAACUAUAUAUGAAGUCCAGAGAGAAACAAGAAUGUCAAUUUGACUUUUCUGGUUUAAGUUCAUAAAGAGAUAGAAGAUAAUAUUUGACAAUAUACCACAAAGGUUAAGGAAAUACCACAACAUAUCAACAGAGAGAACCAAGAAGAGAACUGAAUACACACGAAAGUAUGUCCAAGGUGUAGAGGAAGGAGAUGCAUUCAAUCGUUCAAGCCGGUCUCUAGCCAAAGCUUGAAACAUCUACAUGACAUUACAAGAUUCACAUUAGGAGGGUGUCUAAAAAGGAUAAUUCAUAACUAGGUAUAUCGCGAACGCCAAUAAUUCCUACCAAAAAGUCAACAACCAUACCUUUAAAGUGCAUAGAACAGUCAGCCAAACUGUCCACAGUACACCUUGAAAUAUUGUUGGGGGAAUCACCAGCGGUAGAAAUGUACCCUAGGAGGAAAGAAGGAUUAAAUUAUGAUUUAAUCUAUUGACAUCCAGAACCCAUACAGUAUAUGCAUAUGAAUUAAAUUACAGAAGCACUAAACAAAGAUGCAAAGUGCACAAGUAAAUGAAAGGAAAAAGUGGGCAUUAAAGACCUCUCUUAAGCCUCAAAACCUAUUAUGUUCCUUUUGAUACAUUAUAAGUACAUUUAAUACAUUUUUUUUCCUGCAGCUGUUAAGAUAUUAAGUAAUGAAAGUAAGAACAGCACUACCUUGUAAAUGAUGUAAUUGGCAAGUCGCUCCACCAGCUUUUUAGUUUCAACGCCAUAUAAAUCUCCAAAAAAUAGAGUCUGUAAAAGAUGCAUAAAGACAUUAGAACCACAGAAAAUGGUCAAACCACAUCUACAAAAACAGAAAAUAAUCAGUACGCCUGUGCACAUUACUAUGGCAACGAACAGCAAUGAUAACAAGUGGUAAACAAUGUUUAACUCUUACCUUGAGGGAGAGUAUAAGAAGAAUAUACACAUUGAGCACAAAAUUGGUCAACAGGGCGAUUGUAAAGUAAGAUCCCAGAAGCAGCUCAAGCGCAUGCUCUGAGUCUGCUAAAGAAAUGUUCUUUGCAAUCAGCCCAUCAGCUCUAAGCCUAUCCAAAGACAACUCUGUCCAGACUUGAAGCCCCACAAAGCUCAGAGCUGUUGAUGCCACCGAGACCGACAAGUACCUUAUCCCCAUUAGGAACAAUAUAACAACAGCCUUCUCACUCAAAAAGUAACUCCCAGAAUCUCAUUUAAUCAAAACCAGCUCGAGAUCCCCAUCUGCAACCACAUAGAAAGACAAGAUUCUUUUGACCAUAAAGGCAGAGACUUUUGAAGAAUCAACACACAAUUGAGCUACCCAUCAGCAGAAAACAAGAGAAAGAUUGAUUCUUUUUAGAAUUGAAUCUAUAAGAAACAUAAACAAUUCAAAAUUCAAAGAUCGAAGAAAACUGGUAAACAUCGUGGAAGAGGAGAGAAAUGAGCUGGGAAGAUUCAAUUUUAACAAAUGCGUAUUACCAAACAAGAGAUCAAAGUUCUAUGGAUCGAUCGAAAACCUGAUUAUCUGCAAAGUUGUCGGUUGAAAAUUCUCUUUAGGACAGGCGUCUCUGUCUUUUUCUCGAUCGGGACAAGGAAAAGUAUAGGAAGAGCAGAAAAAUCAAUAUCUUCUUCCAGGUAGAAAGAGAGAAAGUAUUAUUAUUAUUUUUUCUUUUAUUUAAAGCGAUACGGUCAACAAUAAAAUUAUUUCUUUCUUAAUUUUUAAACAUUAUGUUUUACGAAGAAUAGUUACAUGUUUAAUCAAAGCAUAAUGUCCUAUUUAACUAAGUUGGAGUAUUUAGUAUUGGAUAGCAUUUCGAACUCGCUUUUCUAUUUUUCUUUUAAAAUAUAUAAAAAUAUUAUUUAUGUGAAAUUUAUUUCAAUGUAUAUUUUUAUAAUAAAACUUUUUAUUUGUGAGAAAAAAAUAGAAAAUGUUAUAUUUUAUCUCUAUAUUUGAUAAAAAAAAAUAUCAUAUAGAAAACCACUUGUAUAAUAUAAAUGACGAUUUUCUCAAAUAAUCAUUUUUAUAUUUUUAUUAUAAAUAUAUUUUUUUAAUGAGGAAAAUGAUUAAGAUAGUCUCUUUUUUAUUUUGAAAAUUUUAAUAUUAUUUUUUUUUUUAAUUUGAAACUAUACCUUCAAAACUCUACUCCUUAACUCUAAACCUUAAAUCUAGAUUAGUUAACUAACCAUAAGAGAUAAAUUUAUUUUUAUUCUUUAAUAAAACUUUUUUAGUUAUUUUCCUAUUUUAAUGUUAUUUUUGUGAAAAAACUAAAAAGUAUUAUCCUAAGAAAUUUCUCUAAUAUAAAUACAUUGUUUUAGCCGAAAAAUAUAAAAGUGAGUCGGAUAUAGUUUUAACCAUUAUUUGUUAGAUCCUUCUGUUUUAAUUUGGUAAGAGUUUUGAUCUUAACCCAUUUGGCUACCGGAGUUAAAGGAGAGAGGUAGGUAAUUUUAUUCUCAUUCAAACCUUGCAAGUCUAUAGAAGUAUUGUGGUAUAAUGAUUAAAGCUUAAAGUUUUUUACAUUCGGUUUUUGGUUCGAUUCAUAGAAGAAAUGUUUUUCUACUAAUUAUAGGAUAAAACUUAUGGGAAGUUUCAGAUUAUUUCUAUCUUUCGUUGGGAUUGUGGUCGUGUGUUAAAAGAAAGCAUGUCCAUCGAAAAUGUUAUACUACAGAAUUGUGCAUGGAUAUAAAUGUUACAGAAAAACUAUAUCAUAGAAUAGGAUGGUUAUAUAUAAAGUUGUUCAUCAGAACUGCAUAUGCUAGAAAUAAUUGAUCAUAGUGUGAAAAAUAUAUAAAUAUUAUACAAUGAGUGAUCGAUGAUAAAAAACCUAACAAAUUUGGAGAUUGAUCAAUGAUAAAAGAAAUCAAUUAAAAUGGUAUCUCCUGUGAUGAUGUCAAGAUCGAAAAAGGAGAUUGCAAAACUCAUAGGAUGACAUCAAUGGGAGCUUUGUGUCCUGGUGACGAUUAUGUAGCCACUACGUACAUCUUCCUCAGAUGAUCCAGACAACAUAGCUUUCACUUCUGUUCCAAUAAGCUGAGUGGGCAACAACCCUGAGAUGAAAGCUGCAGCAGUCAUCAACAUGUAAAACACCAAAUCUCAGCUAAUCUCAGAGAUGUAACUGGUACGGACCGGUCCAAUCCCUUAGCCAUUGCCUUCGAGAGAUUUGUGGGUGACAACAGCUGUUGUGAUGAGUAUUGUCUCCUUGGAUUAUGUAACUACAAACCAAUCUUUAACCAUGAUCGAACAAACUCUUCAUUUGUGUCUAAGUGUCUUCUUCUGUCGUAACUUACAACUUGUAAGAGAUCCAAUGCAUUAAUUGGGUGGGGUGUAAAAGCAAACUACUAACAACUUAGAUCGUUCAUAGAAUUGUUGCAGGCUCGGGACACCAUCACGACCAACAUGACCAAGAUGGAGAGAAAGACCGAAGUCUUGAGAUCUUCCUCGAACCAAUUGUGGAGUUUGCCACGUUUCCUCUUUUUGUUAACUUUGAAACUAUUUAAGAGUUCUAUCGCGAGCUUUAUUAUCUUCUUCAACACUUCCGUGGCCUUAACCACGGUGCUGUCAAAUACCCAUUUUAUGAAAUCUGUUGGUGUGUUAUUCUUCCGUGGAGUGUCAUCUGAGCUCUCAUCACCUGAACUCUCAUCAUCUGAACUCUCCUCGUCUGUUAAUAUAGAAAGACCGAACAAGCCAAUGAGAACUCUCUCAAACAAAAGGCUUUAAAUUAAUACUAAUACCUUGAUUAAUGCCAUUGUAGUACAAAUCCUUAAUCUCUUGCACCACCUCGUUGUUCCUCACUGCCUUCCACACUGCUUUGUCAGAUGACAAUGAUAACACCAUUCUCUGCACAAAACGUUAUUCAGGUACACAUUGUGUUUCUAUUUAGGGUUUAUGAAUACUUAACAAAAUAAGACACAGAAACUUGAGCUUAGUGAAUCAAGAAAACAUAAUAAAAAAAAAGAUCACCUGGACGGAUGGCUCGGUUCGUAGUAGGUCAAAAGCAUUGUAAACGUGAUCAUAAGCAUGAGGCUGUAAGAUUCUUGAAUGACAUAGUUCCAUUGAAGGCUCCACCCAGUCCAACUCCGUCCCAAACGAAGGAACUUGAUGAACCAUUCCUGUGGGCAUGGGACUCUGGUUUGCACCACCAUCGAAUACCCUUUAAAACAAGAAUCAACAGUUACGCGUAUUCCCAUUAAGCAAGAAAGCAGGUUUUGAAGAUUAAUAAUAAUAAACAAAGACAAUGAUGCAGUUGAACUAGCAAACAACUUUUCAAAGUAGUUUAAGUUCAGGUACUAGGAAUGAUUGGUUAAAUUGAUACUAAUUCCGGAAGCAAACAAAACGAAAUAGACUUGGAUAGAGCUUCCAUCUUAUUUUAAUUCAUCAAAUCAAGACAAAUUUUUUUCAAUCACACUCAGAGGAAAGAAAUAGGGAAAAGAAAAAAAGUUAACUUUGAAAAUAAUCCAUCCUAAGCCAAGACAAUUCUCGUGAGUAUUAAAAUAUCUAUCUACCACUCAAAGCUCAUCCACAUGUCUGAGAAUUUUUUUUUUUCUUUUUUUAACACUUUUAUGAGAUUAAUUGUCAAUUCUAAUCAUUGAUACAAGUUUCAAAACUCAAAUAGUCUCAUCCAUAUAACCAAAUACAUUACUUUCAAGCGUAUAGAAAAAUUAAGAAACAGAAGAGAAAAAAAAUGAUUACUGCUUGAGAGCAGAAACAGCAUCUUCAACUUCAUCAACAGAAGGAACAGAGCCAAAAACAGAAUCAUCAUCUUCUUCUUCUUCUUCGGUUCCUUCCACCGUAACCCACUCAAAGUCUUCGUAAGCGCCGUAACUGUUAAACGAAAAAGCUCCCCCGCUCCAUCUGGAGGUUAUAGCCACCGGAAGAUUCAACAGCGACCCUGAUGCCGCCGAGAUUCUCAGAUUGUUUGAUCCAACUCUAUGGACAUACCCUCCACCUAGCGAGACAGAAGCGUUCCCAGCUUCUGUCGACGGUGAUGAAGCAAAGGGAUCUUGAAUACCGCCUUUGGCUACGCCGGUCCUCUUCAUCGCUCGUCCGGCGGCGCGUAGCAUCCCUCUUCCGGCGGCGCCUAACAUCCCUCUCCCGGCGGCGCGUAGCAUCCCGCUGCCGGCUGCGCGUAGCAUCCCUUUUCCUCUAUCUAACAUGAGACAAUUGAACUUGCGUUAUUCCGACAGGUUUCGUAAGUUUUACGUUAACUCGGUGAACAGUUUUUUUUUCUUUUGGUCUACCGGUUCGGAUCAAUUAAAGAGUUGUUGUUGUAAUGAAUGUCUCUGUUUUGAGUUUGCUUAUGUACGGUUUGAUGAUUUCCAGGAGACAGAUCAGGUUAUAUAUACAAAAUGUUCUUUUAAGGAUUUUCUCAGAAUAUUUUGACUUUCCUUGAUUUUCUUUGCUUUGUUUUGCUUGAUCCUUCUUCUCCACGACAACGCUUACCAUUUCUAUGUUUUCUAUUGCAUUCAUUUCAAUAAAUAGUCAUAAAAGUAGUUUCCCGUAUAGUAUAAUUGCAUAAACCAAAAAAAAUAAGCACAGAAUUUAAAUGAAUAUGAUUGAAAAUCUGAAGUAAUAUGCAUAAAAGUUAGGAAUUUAAAUAUUGUACUCAAUAGCAUGAAAACACGAAAACCAAUUUGAAAUCCAGAAGACAUUUCGUAAGGGAAAGGGAAAACCAACGUUGAAGACUUUUUCUCUGCUUUUUACUCGAGGUAACUCUCUAUAAUGCUUGUUCUCUACGUCUUUGGUUACUUGCUAGUGAAUUAAUUGGUUAGAAUAUGAAUGCUAGGGAACAAUCCGGUUUACAGUUUUGGUUUAUCAAUCCGGAAACAGCACAUUGAACCGCAUUGUUUUUGUAGUCACGGUUCAGAACAUACCAUCUCUUAGUGCGACGAGCCAUGUGGUCAUACAGUUUGGUUGUUACUCAAAAAGGAAAAAGAAGCUAGGCAGACCAAACAUAAGUUGGACGAACAAGACUUCUCGAUAUAGACGUCACAACUUACAAACAAGGCAAAGAAAGUACAGCAAAAGGUUUACAAUUUACCACAAAGAGAAUAACACAACAAAACAUGGUACCAUUUGACAAGAGAAACACACUUGCACAUUAUUUAUAACAAAAAGAAAAAAAAACUGAUGAUAUAUGCUUCCCCUUUUAUUACCCACCCUGAUCAAAUUCUAAACACCUUAUUCCUCAUGAACUAGACUCCCCUGACAUCGACAUUACUGGGGGCUGUUGCGUGAUUUAUGUAGUAGUGGUGGUGUGAUGGGUUCCACGGGUACGGUCACGGUCAUGCUCACCACCUGUAUGUUGCUGUCCGUAGUAUUGAGCUCUGUCUUUAAUAUCCUGAGCUUUGGUUCCCAGCUUCAUCCUUGCACUGUCCAACUUAUCUGACCCCUGUGGGUGCUCUCCCGUUGCGUACCUAUUCAAUCACACACACACACACACACGCAUGCAUCCAUCAAUUUACACACACACAUAAAAGUGAACGUCUAUGUUCAAUUAGCCAGAGCUUAUUCAGAUGUUUAUGUAUAUAUGCUUUUAAGUUUUAGUGUCCUCUCAUGGCAUAUCUGAUUAUUGUUAAAUAUUAUCUUUAGUUAAGACCUUACCUUUUGGUAAGGUGCAGAUAUACAUAUAACACAAAUUGAAAAUUUAUAUCUGUGAUAAUUUUUUUGCUUACUUAUAGAUCCAGGAGAAGACGGUUAUAGCUGCAAUGCCAAACCCACCAGAGGAGAGAAAGCCAGUGAUGAGAAGUGCUACGGUGAUGAGAGCCGGCAC
RNAcentral lists this long non-coding RNA (17774 nucleotides) under Brassica napus (rape). RNAcentral's name for it is "long non-coding RNA (BNAP_LNC006997)". Lineage: Eukaryota; Viridiplantae; Streptophyta; Magnoliopsida; Brassicales; Brassicaceae. The record is from RNAcentral.